RNAcentral lists this ribosomal RNA (253 nucleotides) under uncultured bacterium. RNAcentral describes it as "partial 16S ribosomal RNA". It matches the Rfam family "Bacterial small subunit ribosomal RNA", at positions 524 to 776 of the family's 1533-position model. The record is from RNAcentral.
UACGUAGGGUCCGAGCGUUGUCCGGAAUUACUGGGCGUAAAGAGCUCGUAGGUGGUUUGUCGCGUUGUUCGUGAAAACUCACAGCUUAACUGUGGGCGUGCGGGCGAUACGGGCAGACUAGAGUACUGCAGGGGAGACUGGAAUUCCUGGUGUAGCGGUGGAAUGCGCAGAUAUCAGGAGGAACACCGGUGGCGAAGGCGGAUCUCUGGGCCAUAACUGACGCUGAGGAGCGAAAGCAUGGGGAGCGAACAGG